GGCCACUGCUAUGGGGGUCCGACUAAGCCAUGCGAGUCAAGGGGGCGUCCCUUCUGGGACGCCACCGGCGGACGGCUCAGUAACACGUCGGUAACCUACCCUCGGGAGGGGGAUAACCCCGGGAAACUGGGGCUAAUCCCCCAUAGGCCUGGGGUACUGGAAGGUCCCCAGGCCGAAAGGGAGCCGUAAGGCUCCGCCCGAGGAUGGGCCGGCGGCCGAUUAGGUAGUUGGUGGGGUAACGGCCCACCAAGCCGAAGAUCGGUACGGGCCGUGAGAGCGGGAGCCCGGAGAUGGACACUGAGACACGGGUCCAGGCCCUACGGGGCGCAGCAGGCGCGAAACCUCCGCAAUGCGGGAAACCGCGACGGGGGGACCCCCAGUGCCGUGCCUCUGGCACGGCUUUUCCGGAGUGUAAAAAGCUCCGGGAAUAAGGGCUGGGCAAGGCCGGUGGCAGCCGCCGCGGUAAUACCGGCGGCCCGAGUGGUGGCCACUAUUAUUGGGCCUAAAGCGGCCGUAGCCGGGCCCGUAAGUCCCUGGCGAAAUCCCACGGCUCAACCGUGGGGCUCGCUGGGGAUACUGCGGGCCUUGGGACCGGGAGAGGCCGGGGGUACCCCCGGGGUAGGGGUGAAAUCCUAUAAUCCCGGGGGGACCGCCAGUGGCGAAGGCGCCCGGCUGGAACGGGUCCGACGGUGAGGGCCGAAGGCCAGGGGAGCGAACCGGAUUAGAUACCCGGGUAGUCCUGGCUGUAAAGGAUGCGGGCUAGGUGUCGGGCGAGCUUCGAGCUCGCCCGGUGCCGUAGGGAAGCCGUUAAGCCCGCCGCCUGGGGAGUACGGCCGCAAGGCUGAAACUUAAAGGAAUUGGCGGGGGAGCACUACAAGGGGUGGA
RNAcentral lists this ribosomal RNA (885 nucleotides) under Pyrococcus sp. PK 5017. Its description in RNAcentral is "bacterial SSU rRNA". It matches the Rfam family "Archaeal small subunit ribosomal RNA", at positions 22 to 892 of the family's 1478-position model. The record is from RNAcentral. Lineage: Archaea; Methanobacteriati; Methanobacteriota; Thermococci; Thermococcales; Thermococcaceae.